Molecule: ribosomal RNA, 254 nt
Filed under: uncultured bacterium
Lineage: Bacteria
Description: partial 16S ribosomal RNA
Rfam family: Bacterial small subunit ribosomal RNA
Source: RNAcentral
UACAGAGGGUGCGAGCGUUGUCCGGAAUCACUGGGCGUAAAGGGCGCGUAGGUGGUGGCUUAAGCGUGCGGUGAAAGCUCGGGGCUCAACCCCGAGUCGGCCGUGCGAACUGGGCUCACUGGAGCAUAGUAGAGGCAGGUGGAAUUCCGGGUGUAGCGGUGGAAUGCGUAGAGAUCCGGAAGAACACCGGUGGCGAAGGCGACUACCUGGACCAGCACUGACACUGAGGCACGAAAGCGUGGGGAGCAAACAGG